Molecule: ribosomal RNA, 1197 nt
Filed under: metagenome
Description: bacterial SSU rRNA
Rfam family: Bacterial small subunit ribosomal RNA
Source: RNAcentral
UUUCUAACGAGACGCUAAUACCGCAUGACACCGGUUGUAGGCAUCUAUGACCGGUCAAAGGUGGCCUCUGUUUCAAGCUGUCGCUUGAGGAUGGCCCCGCGUCCGAUUAGCUAGAUGGUGGGGUAACGGCCUACCAUGGCGACGAUCGGUAGCCGGCCUGAGAGGGUGUCCGGCCACACUGGGACUGAUAUACGGCCCAGACUCCUACGGGAGGCAGCAGUCGAGAGGCUUCCGCAAUGGGGGAAACCCUGACGGAGCGACGCCGCGUGGGUGAGGAAGGUCUUCGGAUCGUAAAACCCUGUCAGGAGGGACGAAAACCGGAUUGGCUAAUACCCUUUCCGCUUGACGGUACCUCCAGAGGAAGCUCCGGCUAACUCCGUGCCAGCAGCCGCGGUAACACGGAGGGAGCAAACGUUGUUCGGAAUUACUGGGCGUAAAGGGCGUGUAGGCUAUUCUCUAAGUCGGGGGUGAAAUCCAAUGGCUUAACCAUUGGCCUGCCUUCGAAACUGGGGAACUUGAGGCCGUGAGAGGAAAGCGGAAUUCCUGGUGUAUCGGUGAAAUGAGUUGAUAUCAGGAGGAACACCAGUGGCGAAGGCGGCUUUCUGGCGCGGUUCUGACGCUGAGGCGCGAAAGCAUGGGGAGCAAACGGGAUUAGAUACCCCGGUAGUCCAUGCUGUAAACGAUGAGAACUAGGUGUCGGGGGUAUCGACCCCCUCGGCGCCGAAGCUAACGCAUUAAGUUCUCCGCCUGGGGAGUACAGUCGCAAGGCUGAAACUCAAAGGAAUUGACGGGGGCUCGCACAAGCGGUGGAGCAUGUGGUUUAAUUCGAUGCAACGCGAAGAACCUUACCUGGGCUUGACAUAUUCUUGACUGUCGUGGAAACACGGCUUCCUCGAAAGAGGCAGGUUUACAGGUGCUGCAUGGCUGUCGUCAGCUCGUGUCGUGAGAUGUUGGGUUAAGUCCCGCAACGAGCGCAACCCUUAUCCUUAGUUGCCAGCGGAUUAUGCCGGGCACUCUAGGGAGACUGCCUGUGUUAAGCAGGAGGAAGGCGGGGAUGACGUCAAGUCAUCAUGGCCCCUUACGCCCAGGGCUACGCACGUGCUACAAUGGCCGGUACAAUGGGUUGCAAUGCCGUGAGGUGGAGCUAAUCCCAAAAGCCGGUCUCAGUUCGGAUUGGAGUCUGCAACUCGACUUCAU